UGAGGAACAUGACUUUCAGUGGGGGAGUAGCCGGCCCAACGGCCGGGUAAUACCGCGUACGACCUCUUGGGGACAUCCCCGGGUGGUGAAAGCAGCAAUGCGCCGAAAGAGUGCCUCGCGGCCUAUCAGCUAGUUGGUGGGGUAAUGGCUCACCAAGGCGACGACGGGUAGCUGGUCUGAGAGGAUGGCCAGCCACAUUGGGACUGAGACACGGCCCAGACUCCUACGGGGAGGNAGCG
Molecule: ribosomal RNA, 239 nt
Filed under: uncultured bacterium
Lineage: Bacteria
Description: partial 16S ribosomal RNA
Rfam family: Bacterial small subunit ribosomal RNA
Source: RNAcentral